GACGAACGCUGGCGGCGGGCCUAACACAUGCAAGUCGAACGCUCGUAGCAAUACGAGAGUGGCAGACGGGUGGGUAACACGUGGGAACCUUCCCUAUGGUUCGGAAUAGCUCAGGGAAACUUGAGGUAAUACCGGAUAAGCCCUUCGGGGAAGGAUUUAUCGCCAUUGGAUGAGCCCGCGUCGGAUUAGCUAGUUGGUGAGGUAACGGCUCACCAAGGCGACGAUCCGUAGCUGGUCUGAGAGGAUGAUCAGCCACACUGGGACUGAGACACGGCCCAGACUCCUACGGGAGGCAGCAGUGGGGAAUAUUGGACAAUGGGCGCAAGCCUGAUCCAGCCAUGCCGCGUGAGUGACGAAGGUCUUCGGAUUGUAAAGCUCUUUUGGCGGGGACGAUAAUGACGGUACCCGCAGAAUAAGCCCCGGCUAGCUUCGUGCCAGCCGCCGCGGUAAG
This 451-nucleotide ribosomal RNA is filed under the name uncultured bacterium. RNAcentral describes it as "bacterial SSU rRNA". It matches the Rfam family "Bacterial small subunit ribosomal RNA", at positions 28 to 524 of the family's 1533-position model. The record is from RNAcentral.